This 560-nucleotide long non-coding RNA is filed under the name Mus musculus (house mouse). RNAcentral's name for it is "predicted gene, 39154". The record is from RNAcentral. Lineage: Eukaryota; Metazoa; Chordata; Mammalia; Rodentia; Muridae.
UGUGGGUCCUUCUAUUCACAACUUACUGUUAAUAAACUCACUCCUAGAUACAGCUAGUAUAGUUGCCCACAGCUGUUUAUGGUCGGCAAUAAUAAUGGCUGAAUAGUAUAUAGCACAUAGGAUUCCUAGUUCCCCUCUUAAACUUGUGGCUCUCACAUCUUUCACCCCUCUCUUCUAGAGUGUUCUCAGAUCCUUGAAGAGGAUGUCUUUAUUGCACCAAGGAUAUGGUGGUUUUUUACUACAUCCUGAAAAAGCCUCCAUUUCUCUUCACCCUGGAACAACGGAAAGAUCUGUAUGUAAUGAAUGAAGAAAGAACCUGAGAAAAUAAUGAAGCAAACUUUUCCCCAAAUAAUUCCUAUGUUUUAAAAAUUCUUGUUUCUGGAGUCAUUUGAGAAACAAUCCAACCUCUUGCUAUGUACAUCUAUACAGUUCACUCUGCAAUCCCUUCUUAUUUGCUGCAUGUGUCAUCCCAUUGCCUAAUGUAAGUGGUUUCAAAGCUCUGGACAGUGUCCUCUUGUGCAUCUGUAUCCCCUCUUCUCUCCUGCUACAUUUCAUUCUUG